RNAcentral lists this long non-coding RNA (457 nucleotides) under Brassica napus (rape). RNAcentral describes it as "long non-coding RNA (BNAP_LNC018667)". The record is from RNAcentral. Lineage: Eukaryota; Viridiplantae; Streptophyta; Magnoliopsida; Brassicales; Brassicaceae.
CCAAAACAUAUGUCUGAUCAAUCUAAGACAUCUUCUAACUAUGGUCGAGCAACUUAUUUGACUCAUAGUUCACACAUGAUCACUUCUUCGUCCACCUCGUACUUCAAAACUUCUCGAUCGAUCCUUAUCGCCCGCGACUCGACCACCACAAAGAUAUUCGACCAUUAUUAUUAUUUUUUUAACGGGUGUCUACAUUCUCCCUCCGCCCUUAAUAGAAUUCGUCCUCGAAUUCUUAGUUGUGCAAUUGCUCAUCUUCACGACAUCCUCCACUCGUCUCCAUAUAUCUUUACGUUGUCCACAAUCGUUCCUUAAGUGUCCUCCUCAAGGCCUCCACAAUCGUCUUCAGUUGAAUGAUCGCUGGAUCAUCUCAUACUGUUUCUCUGCCAUAAGACUCUGAUUCCCCAUGAUACGAACUUGUCCAGAUUCCUCAAAUCCUUCUCGAUCUUCCUUUUCCCAA